Molecule: long non-coding RNA, 1522 nt
Organism: Canis lupus familiaris (dog)
Lineage: Eukaryota; Metazoa; Chordata; Mammalia; Carnivora; Canidae
Exons: 3
Source: RefSeq, a predicted model, not a curated record
GGCCAGGGCCGUGAGUAUUUACAGUGUUCUGACCUGAGGACCCCGGGCUGAAGGAGAAGAGGAGGAAACCGGGCCCAUUCCAUAAACAGACACAGAUAGGAGGGGGAGUCACCACAGGUGAAAUCCCUCUUAGCAGCUGGCUUAUGAAAUAAUGUGAAGGGAGGCCUUAAUGAGCAGAAAGCACCCUCAGCUGGAGAUAAAUAUAUGCAAAUGAGAUGCACAAACAAAGGAGCCUGGACAGAGAAAUAUCUGCAAUUCCAGCAAAAUUCUGCCUGCAGCUCGAAGAUGAACAGCUUUGAUAAAAUGUGAGAAAUAAUCCUCCCCUGUGCUGAUGACUCAGGCUCAUGAAUCUGCAACAAGCAAGUGGGAUAAAAAAUAGUUAAAAUGAAUCAACAUUUAUCUGGAAGAUACAGUCCUGACCUUAAAAGAAAAAAAAAAAAAAAAAAAAAAGGCCAUUUAUCUUCUGUGUCCUGUGAUGUUUUGAGGAUUCUGGCAAAUAUGGCAGUUAAACAAACUUCUUUCACAAUCUAAAUACUGUCUGUUCAAGAGAGGCUUCCAAUGUUUAUAGCUCAUAAGUAAAGAAAAAAAAAAAAGAAAGAAAGAAAGAAAAAAAAAAGAAAACCCUGGUAUUUUACCAACACGGGCGCUCUUGAAAAUGUCUCCGAACAAAGUGUUUAAGCAAAAAACUUUGGCCACAGAGAGUCUCGAUUGCUCAUUCGCCUUCUGAUUUCCUUUUUCAAGGAGAUGCUUUCAUAUUCCGUCUUUGCAUUCCUUUUCUGGAAAUCAGCAAAUUAAUUGCAAAAAAUUAACGCCUGACGAGUGACCUGGUCAUACAAACUUCCUCUAGAAACAGUUGAGAGGAAAACAUCCCAUUUUUAUGAACCCCGUCUCCUGCCAGGGGCCUCGGAGGAGGAACACCAUUAUGCAUUGUUAUCAGCGUGGUGUAAUUUGACUGUUGACAAAGUAUCCGUGGCAGUGAGAAUGAGCGCAGUUAGAAGUGUGGCGGAUUGUAAUCAAGAAGAUGCUUAGCUGUGCAACACUGCAUCUUGAGCAGAUUUGAAUCAACAUUGCCUUAAGGGGACACACACACAUACCAAAAGGAAAGGGGGGAAAAAUCCAUUAAUUUUUAGAGGAAAAUUAGAGUGGCACUUGAUGAAGUAAAAUUUGACAUGCGUUAAUUGCUCUGCAGCUCUCCUAAUUAGAGAUUUUCAAAUUCUUUUACUGCUGUCACCAUGAUGGCACAUUGUCUUGCCGGACAAACCCUGGAAUGGCAAAUGCGUUUGAUCGGGAAGUUUUAUGGAGGGAGAUUGGACUGUGUCCUCCGGGCAGUCCACGUCCAGGAGGUGGACAGCUGGGGAGCAAAGGGGGGUUUUCAGCAUCACCUUCGCCGCAGAGAAAAACAGGCUUUACUAAAAUAGUUUCAUUACAAGACUUAAUGUAAAGGAAGCAGGUGCUGAUGCGAUUUUCUUAAACGGACGGAAAUGUUCCUUUGAUACUCGUGCCUCUGUUUCAUAUGAAAUAU